GCCGAUAUGGUGCAAUGGCAGCACACCGCCCUUCCAAGGCGGGAAUACCGGUUCAAUCCCGGCCAUCGGCUCCA
RNAcentral lists this transfer RNA (74 nucleotides) under Caudoviricetes sp. RNAcentral's name for it is "tRNA-Gly". It matches the Rfam family "tRNA". Rfam says of the family: Transfer RNA (tRNA) molecules are approximately 80 nucleotides in length. Their secondary structure includes four short double-helical elements and three loops (D, anti-codon, and T loops). Further hydrogen bonds mediate the characteristic L-shaped molecular structure. tRNAs have two regions of fundamental functional importance: the anti-codon, which is responsible for specific mRNA codon recognition, and the 3' end, to which the tRNAs corresponding amino acid is attached (by aminoacyl-tRNA synthetases). tRNAs cope with the degeneracy of the genetic code in two manners: having more than one tRNA (with a specific anti-codon) for a particular amino acid; and 'wobble' base-pairing, i.e. permitting non-standard base-pairing at the 3rd anti-codon position. Lineage: Duplodnaviria; Heunggongvirae; Uroviricota; Caudoviricetes. The record is from RNAcentral.